UGAACCCUCAUCAUGAACCCUCAUCAUGCAGCCUCAUCAUGAACCCUCAUCAUGAACCCUCAUCAUGCAGCCUCAUCAUGAACCCUCAUCAUGCAGCCUCAUCAUGGAGCCGCAGCCUCAUCAUGCAGCCUCAGCCGAGGGGUUAAAAGAGGAGCUAGAGUGUUCCAGUGGUCUCUUGUUAACGAGGGGCGUGGCUCCGUGUCAAUGGACUCCAGAAUAAAGCCUGUGUCCUGUGGCCUCAUUCGGCCUCUCUGUCCUGUUCUGGCUUGACGCUGCUGAGAGCUGGCUGCGGCUGUUCAGAUUUCCUUCUUUAUGCACUACACAUAGCCUACAUAUUGCUGAUGCGCAUGACACUUUGUUAUCUUUUCUUUAUGCACUACACAUAGCCUACACAUUGCUGAUGCGCAUGACACUUUAUGUUAUCUUUUCUUUAUGCACUACACAUAGCCUACACAUUGCUGAUGCGCAUGACACUUUAUGUUAUCUUUUGUUGCUCUUCGCUUACUGACUUAUGUACAUAUUUGUAAAUAAAUUUAUGAUUAUUAUUUAAACGUUA
Long non-coding RNA from Alosa alosa (allis shad), 556 nucleotides. RefSeq lists it as uncharacterized. The transcript is spliced from 2 exons. Lineage: Eukaryota; Metazoa; Chordata; Actinopteri; Clupeiformes; Clupeidae. The record is from RefSeq and is a predicted model, not a curated record.